UAUGAUCCAGAGUACCACGGGACACGUGAAACCCUGUGGGAAGCAGGAGGGACCACCCUCCAAGGCUAAAUACUACCUAGUGACCGAUAGCGUAUAGUACCGUGAGGGAAAGGUGAAAAGAACCCCGGGAGGGGAGUGAAAUAGAACCUGAAACCCUGCACUUACAAGCUGUGGAAGCACAUUUCUUGUGUGACCGCGUACUUUUUGUAGAACGGGCCAACGAGUUACGUUAAGUAGCAAGGUUAAGCACUUAAGGUGGGAGCCGUAGCGAAAGCGAGUUUUAACUGAGCGUUCAGUUACUUGACGUAGACCCGAAACCGGGCGACCUACCCAUGAGCAGGAUGAAGCGAAAGUAAAAUUUCGUGGAGGUCCGAACCCACGAGCGUUGAAAAGCUCGGGGAUGACUUGUGGGUAGCGGUGAAAUUCCAAUCGAGCCCGGAGAUAGCUGGUUCUCCCCGAAAUAGCUUUAGGGCUAGCCUCAAGGUGAGAGAUACGGAGGUAGAGCACUGAAUGUCCUAGGGGGUAUUGCACCUACCGAAGACUAUCAAACUCCGAAUGCCGUCAUCUUAUACUUGGGAGUCAGACUGUGGGUGAUAAGAUUCAUAGUCGAAAGGGCAACAGCCCAGAUCGUCAGCUAAGGUCCCUAAAUGUAAGUUAAGUGGUAAAGGAUGUGGGAUUGCACAGACAACCAGGAUGUUGGCUUAGAAGCAGCCACUCAUUCAAAGAGUGCGUAAUAGCUCACUGGUCGAGUGAUCCUGCGCCGAAGAUUUCCGGGGCUAAAACUUACUACCGAAGCUACGGCAUCAGUAAUGAUGGGUAGGGGAGCUUCCCAUACGGGUUGAAGCAUGACCGUAAGGACAUGUGGACAGUAUGGGAGUGAGAAUGUUGGCAUGAGUAGCGAGAUGUGGGUGAGAAUCCCACAGGCCGUAAACCCAAGGUUUCCAGGGGAAGGUUCGUCCGCCCUGGGUUAGUCGGGACCUAAGCUGAGGCCGAAAGGCGUAGGUGAUGGACAACAGGUUGAUAUUCCUGUACUACCGAUAACCGUUUGAGAGAAGGGAUGACACAGUAGGAUAAGCUAAGCACACUGUUGGUUAUGUGUGCCCAAGCAUUGAGGCAGUCAAAGUAGGCAAAUCCGCUUUGAUAAUGCUGGGAUGUGAUGGGGAGCGAAAUUUAGUAGCGAAGUAGCUGAUUUCACACUGUCAAGAAAAGUCUCUAUCGAGGUUAAAGGUACCCGUACCGCAAACCGACACAGGUGGGUGAGGAGAGUAUCCUAAGGCCAGCGAGAGAACUGUUGUUAAGGAACUCGGCAAAAUGACCCCGUAACUUAGGGAUAAGGGGUGCCACCAUCAGGUGGCCGCAGAGAAUAGGCCCAAGCGACUGUUUACCAAAAACAUAGGUUUCUGCUAAGUCGCAAGACGAUGUAUAGGAGCUGACGCCUGCCCGGUGCUGGAAGGUUAAGGGGAUCUGUUAGAGCAAUCGAAGCAGUGAACUUAAGCCCCAGUAAACGGCGGCCGUAACUAUAACGGUCCUAAGGUAGCGAAAUUCCUUGUCGGGUAAGUUCCGACCCGCACGAAAGGCGUAACGAUUUGGGCACUGUCUCAACAACAGACUCGGUGAAAUUGUAAUUCCGGUGAAGAUGCCGGAUACCUGCGACAGGACGGAAAGACCCCAUGGAGCUUUACUGUAGCUUGACAUUGGGUCUUGGUACUACAUGUACAGGAUAGGUGGGAGGCUUUGAAACCAGGACGCCAGUUUUGGCGGAGCCAUCCUUGGGAUACCACCCUUGUAGUACUGGGACUCUAACCAUAGGCCAUGAAUCUGGUCUUGGGACACUGUCAGGUGGGCAGUUUGACUGGGGCGGUCGCCUCCCAAAAGGUAACGGAGGCGCUCAAAGGUUCUCUCAGUACGGUCGGAAAUCGUACGUAGAGUGUAAAGGCAAAAGAGAGCUUGAUUGCAAGACAUACAGGUCGAGCAAGGAUGAAAAUCGGACUUAGUGAUCCGGUGGUUCUGCGUGGAAGGGCCAUCGCUCAACGGAUAAAAGCUACCCUGGGGAUAACAGGCUUAUCUCCCCCAAGAGUCCACAUCGACGGGGAGGUUUGGCACCUCGAUGUCGGCUCAUCACAUCCUGGGGCUGUAGUAGGUCCCAAGGGUUGGGCUGUUCGCCCAUUAAAGUGGUACGCGAGCUGGGUUCAGAACGUCGUGAGACAGUUCGGUCCCUAUCCGUCGCAGGCGUAGGAAAUUUGAGAAGACCUGUCCUUAGUACGAGAGGACCGGGAUGGACGUACCUCUGGUGUACCAGUUGUCCUGCCAAGGGCAUGGCUGGGUAGCUAUGUACGGAAUGGAUAAGCGCUGAAAGCAUCUAAGCGCGAAGCCAACUUCAAGAUAAGAUUUCCCACCGCAAGGGUAAGACCCCAGAAAGACUAUCUGGUUGAUAGGUCGAAGGUGUAAGUGCAGCAAUGUAUUUAGCUUAUCGAUACUAAUAGGUCGAGGACUUGACCAA
RNAcentral lists this ribosomal RNA (2500 nucleotides) under Clostridioides difficile 6407. RNAcentral's name for it is "bacterial LSU rRNA". It matches the Rfam family "Bacterial large subunit ribosomal RNA", at positions 401 to 2925 of the family's 2925-position model. The record is from RNAcentral. Lineage: Bacteria; Bacillati; Bacillota; Clostridia; Peptostreptococcales; Peptostreptococcaceae.